This 394-nucleotide ribosomal RNA is filed under the name uncultured bacterium. RNAcentral's name for it is "bacterial SSU rRNA". It matches the Rfam family "Bacterial small subunit ribosomal RNA", at positions 28 to 419 of the family's 1533-position model. The record is from RNAcentral.
GACGAACGCUGGCGGCGUGCUUAACACAUGCAAGUCGAGCGGUAAGGCCCUUUCGGGGGUACACGAGCGGCGAACGGGUGAGUAACACGUGGGUGACCUGCCCUCAGCUCUGGGAUAAGCCUGGGAAACCGGUCGUAAUAACUGGAGUAUGACUCCACUGACGCAUGUUGUGGGGUGGAAAGCCUUGUGCGGCUGAGGAUGGGCCCGCGGCCUAUCAGCUUGUUGGUGGGGUGANGGCCUACCAAGGCGACGACGGGUAGCCGGCCUGAGAGGGCGACCGGCCACACUGGGACUGAGACACGGCCCAGACUCCUACGGGAGGCAGCAGUGGGGAAUCUUGCGCAAUGGGCGAAAAGCCUGACGCAGCGACGCCGCGUGAGGGAUGACGGCCUGU